UAAGACGAACCGUGCGAACGUUGUUCGGAAUCACUGGGCUUAAAGGGCGCGUAGGCGGGUCUCUAAGUCCGGGGUGAAAGCCCCCAGCUCAACUGGGGAAGCGCCUUGGAUACUGGGGGCCUCGAGGGGGGUAGGGGCGUGCGGAACUUCCGGUGGAGCGGUGAAAUGCGUAGAUAUCGGAAGGAACACCGGUGGCGAAAGCGGCGCGCUGGACCCCUUCUGACGCUGAGGCGCGAAAGCCAGGGGAGCAAACGGGAUUAGAUACCCCGGUAGUCCUGGCCCUAAACGUUGGGUACUAGGUUGUGGGCUUACAUGGGCUCACAGCCGGAGCAAAAGUGUUAAGUACCCCGCCUGGGGAGUAUGGUCGCAAGGCUG
Molecule: ribosomal RNA, 375 nt
Filed under: uncultured bacterium
Lineage: Bacteria
Description: bacterial SSU rRNA
Rfam family: Bacterial small subunit ribosomal RNA
Source: RNAcentral